GGAGAGUUGGGCGAGUGGUAAGCCAACACACUGCUAACGUGAUGUCCCCGCGCAAGCGGGGCGAGGGUUCGAUUCCCUCACUCUCCG
RNAcentral lists this transfer RNA (87 nucleotides) under Armatimonadota bacterium. Its description in RNAcentral is "Armatimonadetes bacterium (soil metagenome) tRNA-Ser". It matches the Rfam family "tRNA". From Rfam's summary of the family: Transfer RNA (tRNA) molecules are approximately 80 nucleotides in length. Their secondary structure includes four short double-helical elements and three loops (D, anti-codon, and T loops). Lineage: Bacteria; Bacillati; Armatimonadota. The record is from RNAcentral.